CCAUGCAUGUCUCAGUACAAGCCAAAUUAAGGUGAAACCGCGAAAGGCUCAUUAAAUCAGUUAUGGUUCCUUAGAUCGUACCCACAUUUACUUGGAUAACUGUGGUAAUUCUAGAGCUAAUACAUGCAAACAGAGCUCCGACCGGAGACGGAAGGAGCGCUUUUAUUAGAUCAAAACCAAUCGGUGGCGGGCUUGCUCGUCAUCGUAAUACUUGGUGACUCUGAAUAACUUUACGCUGAUCGCACGGUCUCGCACCGGCGACGCAUCUUUCAAAUGUCUGCCUUAUCAACUGUCGAUGGUAGGUUCUGCGCCUACCAUGGUUGUAACGGGUAACGGGGAAUCAGGGUUCGAUUCCGGAGAGGGAGCCUGAGAAACGGCUACCACAUCCAAGGAAGGCAGCAGGCGCGCAAAUUACCCACUCCCGGCACGGGGAGGUAGUGACGAAAAAUAACGAUACGGGACUCAUCCGAGGCCCCGUAAUCGGAAUGAGUACACUCUAAACCCUUUAACGAGGAUCAAUUGGAGGGAAAGUCUGGUGCCAGCAGCCGCGGUAAUUCCAGCUCCAAUAGCGUAUAUUAAAGUUGUUGCGGUUAA
RNAcentral lists this ribosomal RNA (594 nucleotides) under Aulonodera sp. n. AFD-2021a. Its description in RNAcentral is "SSU rRNA". It matches the Rfam family "Eukaryotic small subunit ribosomal RNA", at positions 49 to 622 of the family's 1831-position model. Lineage: Eukaryota; Metazoa; Arthropoda; Insecta; Coleoptera; Chrysomelidae. The record is from RNAcentral.